Prionailurus viverrinus (fishing cat) is the source of this 1357-nucleotide long non-coding RNA. RefSeq lists it as uncharacterized. The transcript is spliced from 2 exons. NCBI's taxonomy places the organism in Eukaryota, Metazoa, Chordata, Mammalia, Carnivora, Felidae. The record is from RefSeq and is a predicted model, not a curated record.
UUAUACUAUCACAAAAACACAGUUAAUUCAGUACUUUUAUGGUGAAUUAUAAACAGACUAAUUGGAUUUAAUUUUCAUAAAAAAUAAGUAACCAAAAAUGACCUCAGCAAAUGUUAGACCUGUGGGAAUAUAGGUUGCCAUUCUUGGAAAACAUUGCCCAAGGAAAGCACAAUGUCUUAAAACCCAUGUAAGAGAAGUAACAACUCUAGAACAAUGGUUCUCAAAGAAUGAUCACAGCAUCGCGUGGGAACUUACACUAAUUCUCACAUUCUACUACAGAUCUACUGAAUCAGAAACUGGAAGUGGAUCCCAUCAUUCUGUGUUUUAAUAAACCUCCCAGGUCUCUUCAGCACCUCCACUCUACGUAGUAUCUUCCAGUCGAUCCUGCCGCUUGCCACUACCCUGGAGUUUGUGCCACUAAGUUGGAAUACCUUGAAAGUUACCUGUUUUUAAGGAACUGUUGAGUAGCUGCCCAUGUAAUAAUAACAACAAUAGCAACAGUAAUAAGAAUGAUUUUAAUCUUAUUUGUCUUCCUUCAAAGGGUCUUAACUGCUUUAAAGGUAAUUAUUUCCCGAACUUGACUAGGCACAGUGCAACCUGGAUGCCUGUGAACACACAGAUGCAUAAGUUACACACUGAAAAUUUUGCUUUAGUAUGUAUGGAGUAGAGCCUGCAAAUCUUUUGUUAUUAUUGUUUUAUUGAAAUUCAAAAGCUUAUUUAGCUCCCCAGCCAGGGGUAAGGGACUGUGUAAGGACUUCCAAUCUGUUAUAGAAAGAGUAUUUUAGUUACUCUGGUAGUCUGCCUUAGUAUUUCUAUACAUUGGGACGGUAAGGAAUUAAUCUGAAGGAAGCAAAAGUAUACACCAAGAUUUUAUUUUUUUAAAAAGCCAUAAGAUUUGUGGUAUACUGACUUGAAUCCCAAUCCUAGACCUGUCUUUCCAGAGCUGUAGAGCCUUAAGCAAACUUCCAUUGCAAGUGUCCUUUUUCUUAUACGUAAAACUAAGAUAAAAUAAACAUACUGUAGUUAAUAUUAAUACUUCACGGGGUUGUGAAAAGAUCCUGUUGAUAAUGGAUGUAAACUGCUUUGAAAAGCAUUAGUCAAAUAUUUUUAUUCUUUGGCUUCAACCUCAACCUGAUCCUUACUUAAAAGUCCAUGCCUUUAAGGGCACAAUUACCAACUGGCAUGUUUACUCUUCUGGCCCAUUAACACUCCCUAGCUUUGAGGUAGCUGAAUAUAGUUAGAUUAUGGCUACAUAAAAAAACAUCAGGCCCAGGUUGUUUUGGUCUACAGUAAGAAAGAAAAGAUUCUGAUGCGUGACCGGAUUCUUUUGCUUACUAAAAUUUAUGGUCUUUCUGGG